RNAcentral lists this long non-coding RNA (247 nucleotides) under Ananas comosus (pineapple). Its description in RNAcentral is "long non-coding RNA (ACOM_LNC018071)". The record is from RNAcentral. Lineage: Eukaryota; Viridiplantae; Streptophyta; Magnoliopsida; Poales; Bromeliaceae.
UCGUUUUCGCUCGUUGGGUCUCCGAUUCACUUCUAAUCGUACCGAGACCCCCAAAACACGCUUUCGAGCGCGUUUAAAACAUCGUUUCAUCCACGCUUAUGCUGGAUUUAGUCCACGGUCCAACAUAGCUUUUCGGGUUUCGUUUUCGCGCCCAACGCGCUCCGUAAACACCCGGAUGCUCCCGAACCUCACCGGAACCAUUCUAAUGACUUUCCAAACUAACAUACACCGUAACUUCAUAACUUUA